Molecule: ribosomal RNA, 2538 nt
Filed under: Listeria monocytogenes
Lineage: Bacteria; Bacillati; Bacillota; Bacilli; Caryophanales; Listeriaceae
Description: bacterial LSU rRNA
Rfam family: Bacterial large subunit ribosomal RNA
Source: RNAcentral
GCUUUCCCUCCAGAGUGGAUCCUGAGUACGGCGGAACACGUGAAAUUCCGUCGGAAUCCGGGAGGACCAUCUCCCAAGGCUAAAUACUCCCUAGUGACCGAUAGUGAACCAGUACCGUGAGGGAAAGGUGAAAAGCACCCCGGAAGGGGAGUGAAACAGUUCCUGAAACCGUGUGCCUACAAGUAGUUAGAGCCCGUUAAUGGGUGAUAGCGUGCCUUUUGUAGAAUGAACCGGCGAGUUACGAUUUGUUGCAAGGUUAAGCGGAAAAAGCGGAGCCGUAGCGAAAGCGAGUCUGAAUAGGGCGCAUAAGUAACAGGUCGUAGACCCGAAACCAGGUGAUCUACCCAUGUCCAGGAUGAAGGUAAGGUAAUACUUACUGGAGGUCCGAACCCACGCACGUUGAAAAGUGCGGGGAUGAGGUGUGGGUAGCGGAGAAAUUCCAAUCGAACUUGGAGAUAGCUGGUUCUCUCCGAAAUAGCUUUAGGGCUAGCCUCGAGGUAAAGAGUCAUGGAGGUAGAGCACUGUUUGGACUAGGGGCCCUUCUCGGGUUACCGAAUUCAGAUAAACUCCGAAUGCCAUGUACUUAUACUCGGGAGUCAGACUGCGAGUGAUAAGAUCCGUAGUCGAAAGGGAAACAGCCCAGACCACCAGUUAAGGUCCCCAAAUAUAUGUUAAGUGGAAAAGGAUGUGGGGUUGCUUAGACAACCAGGAUGUUGGCUUAGAAGCAGCCACCAUUGAAAGAGUGCGUAAUAGCUCACUGGUCGAGUGACCCCGCGCCGAAAAUGUACCGGGGCUAAACAUAUUACCGAAACUGUGGAUGAACCUCUUUAGAGGUUCGUGGUAGGAGAGCGUUCUAAGGGCGGUGAAGUCAGACCGGAAGGACUGGUGGAGCGCUUAGAAGUGAGAAUGCCGGUAUGAGUAGCGAAAGAAGGGUGAGAAUCCCUUCCACCGAAUAUCUAAGGUUUCCUGAGGAAGGCUCGUCCGCUCAGGGUUAGUCGGGACCUAAGCCGAGGCCGAUAGGCGUAGGCGAUGGACAACAGGUAGAGAUUCCUGUACCAGUGCUAAUUGUUUAACCGAUGGGGUGACACAGAAGGAUAGGGAAUCGCACGAAUGGAAAUGUGCGUCCAAGCAGUGAGUGUGAGAAGUAGGCAAAUCCGCUUCUCGCGAAGCAUGAGCUGUGAUGGGGAAGGAAAUUAAGUACGGAAGUUCCUGAUUUCACGCUGUCAAGAAAAGCCUCUAGGAAGAGUAGUACUGCCCGUACCGCAAACCGACACAGGUAGAUGAGGAGAGAAUCCUAAGGUGAGCGAGAGAACUCUCGUUAAGGAACUCGGCAAAAUGACCCCGUAACUUCGGGAGAAGGGGUGCUCUAUUAGGGUGCAAGCCCGAGAGAGCCGCAGUGAAUAGGCCCAGGCGACUGUUUAGCAAAAACACAGGUCUCUGCAAAACCGUAAGGUGACGUAUAGGGGCUGACGCCUGCCCGGUGCUGGAAGGUUAAGAGGAGUGCUUAGCUUCGGCGAAGGUACGAAUUGAAGCCCCAGUAAACGGCGGCCGUAACUAUAACGGUCCUAAGGUAGCGAAAUUCCUUGUCGGGUAAGUUCCGACCCGCACGAAAGGCGCAACGAUCUGGGCACUGUCUCAACGAGAGACUCGGUGAAAUUAUAGUACCUGUGAAGAUGCAGGUUACCCGCGACAGGACGGAAAGACCCCGUGGAGCUUUACUGCAACCUGAUAUGGAAUGUUUGUACCGCUUGUACAGGAUAGGUAGGAGCCGAAGAGACGUGUGCGCUAGCAUACGAGGAGGCAAUGGUGGGAUACUACCCUGGCUGUAUGACCAUUCUAACCCGCCACGCUUAGCGCGUGGGGAGACAGUGUCAGGUGGGCAGUUUGACUGGGGCGGUCGCCUCCUAAAGAGUAACGGAGGCGCCCAAAGGUUCCCUCAGAAUGGAUGGAAAUCAUUCGCAGAGUGUAAAGGCACAAGGGAGCUUGACUGCGAGACUGACAAGUCGAGCAGGGACGAAAGUCGGGCUUAGUGAUCCGGUGGUUCCGCAUGGAAGGGCCAUCGCUCAACGGAUAAAAGCUACCCCGGGGAUAACAGGCUUAUCUCCCCCAAGAGUCCACAUCGACGGGGAGGUUUGGCACCUCGAUGUCGGCUCGUCGCAUCCUGGGGCUGUAGUCGGUCCCAAGGGUUGGGCUGUUCGCCCAUUAAAGCGGCACGCGAGCUGGGUUCAGAACGUCGUGAGACAGUUCGGUCCCUAUCCGUCGCGGGCGCAGGAAAUUUGAGAGGAGCUGUCCUUAGUACGAGAGGACCGGGAUGGACACACCGCUGGUGUACCAGUUGUUCCGCCAGGAGCAUCGCUGGGUAGCUAUGUGUGGCAGGGAUAAACGCUGAAAGCAUCUAAGCGUGAAGCCCCCCUCAAGAUGAGAUUUCCCAUUUCUUCGGAAAGUAAGAUCCCUGAAAGAUGAUCAGGUAGAUAGGUUUGGAGUGGAAGUGUAGCGAUACAUGGAGCGGACAAAUACUAAUCGAUCGAGGACUUAACC